This is a long non-coding RNA of Salvia miltiorrhiza (redroot sage), 1950 nucleotides long. RefSeq lists it as uncharacterized. The record is from RefSeq and is a predicted model, not a curated record. The transcript has 4 exons. NCBI's taxonomy places the organism in Eukaryota, Viridiplantae, Streptophyta, Magnoliopsida, Lamiales, Lamiaceae.
CAUGAGAAUAACAGAUCCAGAUUGCUCUCGAAUUCUGGUACCUCUAUUUUCAAAAUCUGGGCAGUUUUUAUUUAUCAACCACCACCGAUUAAAUCACUGGGGAAGUCCCCCACUUAGCUGGUUUCUUUUUCGGGAAUGUAUGGUGAUAAUUCCUUCUUACCGAUUCUGUUGGGAGACGUGGAACCAAUUUCUACAUCUCUCUCUCGUCAAUCUCACUUCAGCUAUUUCCAGAUUCACCAGUUAAAAAUUGCUAGAAAUUCCCCAAAUCUAGAAAUCAUCAGUGAACGAUGAAACACCAAUCCUGAAAAUUCGUCCAUCAGUCCAGAUCUGGAGAACAAAACAUCCAGCUUCUGGAAAAAUUUCUAAGUUCUUGGUUGGGGGAAAUUCGUCUUCUCACCACGUUUGGAUCGCGGCCAACGAGUCGAUUCUUGGCAUCGCACCAAUUCUCCGAUGAGAAUCGGGGAAUCUCUUAUGGAUUUGAGGCAAUCCCCAAAAAUAGCAACAAAAAUCAUCGGAAGAAAUCUGGGUGACGGAGCUUCACUCAUACCCCAGAUCGUGCCCUGAUUUCCCCCCAUACCGAUUUAUUUUGAUCUCGCCGCUGAUUAGGGGACGCCGUGUUACCGAUGCGCUACCACAUCAUUUUCUUACCAAGAUUCCCGUCGCCGCGGCCUUGAAAUCCGACGAGACGGGUGUCAAUCGUUGUUCCACGGGAGUUCGACGCUCCUCAUCGAUCUAUUCUUCAACGCAGAGAUAGUCGAACCAACGAUUUGGUUAAUGGGGGCUGUUAUUGUGCAUUAGCACUAUGUUGUGCGACAUCAUCAAAGAGAAUUCUGGCGACUCAUGUGACCGCACUGCUCAGCCCGAUACAACCGAUUUCUAGUAUUCGACGUUCCCAAGUUAAUUCAGGGAAGAAUCUUGUGUUAUUAUAUUGAUAUAAGUUUCAAUUCUUCAUUAUUUAUCUUUAUUCUUAGCAUAGCUCGAGAGGGGCUGAAAUCUUGUUCAAUGGAUUGGUGAUUUUGUGUGUCUUUCUUGUAGCUUUCUAGCAGGGCUGUCCUCAAGAAACUUUUUACUCAAAAGGAUGAACUCUACGAGGGUUUAACAUGCCAUGCUAUUAAUUCAAGUCCGUGAGGUUCAUUGUUAUCGGAGCAGUAGGACAUCUGAAUCUGUACAUGUGGGACGGAGAUUAUCGUUACUCAGUCCAUAGCUCAGCGUUGGUGGUGAAGCUCAACAUUUAAACCUAAAUCUAAACAAGUCGAAAAAUGAGAUCAGCUUUAUGUUGAACAUGUGGUCCUUCCAAGCUUCGGCGUUGGUUGCUUCCGUUCUUUGUCUGCGCAGACCUUAUCAGGGGCGUGAUCAGCCCCCUCGUAUGUAUUGCCUUCUGGUCUUGUCCGCGCAGCUCUUCUGAUCCUUGUUCUCGCUGAAGAUGUUUACUUCUUUGAGUCCUUUCCGAGUGUUACCUUGGGGUUAGGCUGUCUCUUCUAGUCUGCGCCACUGACUUGCUUUGACCAUCAUGUGAUGCACCUAUGUUCUUUGAAUCAAGCAUGUUUGGGGCCUAAAUCAGCGCCGUUGACCCUCGUCUAGGGUAGGAUGGCUGAUGAGAUCCUUACUCCUCAUCAGUUGGAGCGACAAACGGGUACACGCUUCUUGCGGCGGGUCUGCUAUUCAUCCUGAUGUAGCCUCCAACUCUACUGGACUUCCAAGCCCAUGUGGCUGUCUUGUAGAUGGCUUAUUGACACACAAAGGGGCAGCGCAGUACUGUAGUCUUAAAGGGCAGCAUAGGUUCACGAAAAGGACUAAAUGGGCAGCGCGGAUUCAUGAUCUUCUGAUAUUCAGCUGCGCAGCCACCUAUGGUCUUCUCUUUCUUUUGAUGUUCAACUGCGCAGCCACCUAUGGUCAUCUCUCUCUUCUGAUGUUCAGCUGCGCAACCAGCUAUGGACCCUUUUAUUUCCA